RNAcentral lists this ribosomal RNA (592 nucleotides) under uncultured fungus. RNAcentral's name for it is "eukaryotic LSU rRNA". It matches the Rfam family "Eukaryotic large subunit ribosomal RNA", at positions 40 to 647 of the family's 3401-position model. The record is from RNAcentral. Lineage: Eukaryota; Fungi.
AUAUCAAUAAGCGGAGGAAAAGAAACCAACAGGGAUUGCCCUAGUAACGGCGAGUGAAGCGGCAACAGCUCAAAUUUGAAAUCUGGAGCCUUCGGCUUCCGAGUUGUAAUUUGAAGAGGGUGUUUCGGUUGCGGCCUUGGCCCAAGUUCCUUGGAACAGGACGUCAUGGAGGGUGAGAAUCCCGUACAUGGCUGAAGGCUUGCUUCCAUGUGAAACCCCUUCGAAGAGUCGAGUUGUUUGGGAAUGCAGCUCAAAAUGGGUGGUAAAUUUCAUCUAAAGCUAAAUAUUGGCGGGAGACCGAUAGCGCACAAGUAGAGUGAUCGAAAGAUGAAAAGCACUUUGAAAAGAGAGUUAAACAGUACGUGAAAUUGUUGAAAGGGAAGCGCUUGCAAUCAGACUCGCUCUCGGUUGAUCAGCGACGCCUUCUGGCGCGUGCACUCUGCCGUUUGCGGGCCAGCAUCAGUUGGAGCGGUGGGACAAAGGCGGCAGGAAUGUGGCUCCCUCGGGAGUGUUAUAGCCUGCUGCGUCAUGCCACCAGCCCCGACUGAGGUCCGCGGUUCGCCUAGGAUGCUGGCUUAAUGGUUGUAAGCGA